GCUGGGCAUGGUGGCUUGUGCCUGUAGUCCCAGCUACUCGGGAGGCUGAGGCAGGAGGAUCGCUUGAGCCCAGGAGUUGGAGGUUGCUGUGAGCUAGGCUGAUGCCACGGCACUCACUCUAGCCUAGGCAAGAAAGCGAGACUCUGUCUCAAAAAAAAAAAAAAAUUUAAAGUAGGAAGUAAUGUUUUUGGGUUUAUUUGAGACAAGAGUCUCCUCGCCACUUGGGCUGCGGUGCAGUGGCGUCAGCCUAGCUCACAGCAUCCUCAAACUCCUGGGAUAAAGCGAUCCUCCUGCCUUA
This 298-nucleotide signal recognition particle RNA is filed under the name Microcebus murinus (gray mouse lemur). RNAcentral describes it as "Metazoan signal recognition particle RNA (ENSMICG00000036603.2)". It matches the Rfam family "Metazoan signal recognition particle RNA". Rfam says of the family: The signal recognition particle (SRP) is a universally conserved ribonucleoprotein. It is involved in the co-translational targeting of proteins to membranes. The eukaryotic SRP consists of a 300-nucleotide 7S RNA and six proteins: SRPs 72, 68, 54, 19, 14, and 9. Lineage: Eukaryota; Metazoa; Chordata; Mammalia; Primates; Cheirogaleidae. The record is from RNAcentral.